UACGUAGGGUGCGAGCGUUAAUCGGAAUUACUGGGCGUAAAGCGUGCGCAGGCGGUUCGUUAAGUUCGAUGUGAAAGCCCCGGGCUCAACCUGGGAACUGCAUUGGAAACUGGCGAGCUUGAGUGUGGCAGAGGGGGGUGGAAUUCCGCGUGUAGCAGUGAAAUGCGUAGAGAUCUGGAAGAACACCAAAGGCGAAGGCAGCGUCCUGGCAAGUUCCUAACGCUCAUGUGCGAAAGCUAGGGGAGCGAACGGG
This 253-nucleotide ribosomal RNA is filed under the name uncultured bacterium. Its description in RNAcentral is "partial 16S ribosomal RNA". It matches the Rfam family "Bacterial small subunit ribosomal RNA", at positions 524 to 776 of the family's 1533-position model. The record is from RNAcentral.